UAAUGAACUAGAACGCUUUGGAAAUAGCGGCCAUAGAGGGUGAUAGUCCCGUAUAGGCAAAGAGCAUUUAGAUAGUGGUAUCCUGAGUAGUGCGGGGCACGUGAAACCCUGUAUGAAUCAGUCGGGACCAUCCGAUAAGGCUAAAUACUCCUGAGAGACCGAUAGUGAACUAGUACCGUGAGGGAAAGGUGA
This 192-nucleotide ribosomal RNA is filed under the name Pseudopedinella elastica. Its description in RNAcentral is "partial Bacterial large subunit ribosomal RNA". It matches the Rfam family "Bacterial large subunit ribosomal RNA", at positions 320 to 517 of the family's 2925-position model. Lineage: Eukaryota; Dictyochophyceae; Pedinellales. The record is from RNAcentral.